Molecule: ribosomal RNA, 408 nt
Filed under: uncultured bacterium
Lineage: Bacteria
Description: partial 16S ribosomal RNA
Rfam family: Bacterial small subunit ribosomal RNA
Source: RNAcentral
GACGAACGCUGGCGGCGUGCUUAACACAUGCAAGUCGAACGAAGUGGCGAACGGGUGAGUAAUAUAUAGCUAAUCUGCCCCUUGCUGGAGGACAACAGUUAGAAAUGACUGCUAAUACUCCAUAGCAAGGGAUGAGACUAUAUCGUAUCAGCUAGUCGGUGGGGUAACGGCCUACCGAGGCUAUGACGCGUAACUGGUCUGAGAGGAUGAUCAGUCACAUUGGAACUGAGACACGGUCCAAACUCCUACGGGAGGCAGCAGUAGGGAAUAUUGCGCAAUGGGGGAAACCCUGACGCAGCGACGCCGCGUGGGGGAUGAAGGCUUUCGGGUUGUAAACCUCUUUCGCUAUCGAACGGGUAGGUGGAGAAGAAGCGCAGGCUAACUACGUGCCAGCAGCCGCGGUAAUAC